This 84-nucleotide transfer RNA is filed under the name Bacteroidia bacterium. Its description in RNAcentral is "tRNA-Leu". It matches the Rfam family "tRNA". Rfam says of the family: Transfer RNA (tRNA) molecules are approximately 80 nucleotides in length. Their secondary structure includes four short double-helical elements and three loops (D, anti-codon, and T loops). The record is from RNAcentral. Lineage: Bacteria; Pseudomonadati; Bacteroidota; Bacteroidia.
GCCCGGGUGGCGAAAUUGGUAGACGCACCACUUUGAGGUGGUGGCGCCUGAAAAGGCGUGCUGGUUCGAAUCCGGUCCCGGGCA